Molecule: transfer RNA, 70 nt
Filed under: Vibrio cholerae HC-21A1
Lineage: Bacteria; Pseudomonadati; Pseudomonadota; Gammaproteobacteria; Vibrionales; Vibrionaceae
Also listed under: 2 other names
Description: partial tRNA-Arg
Rfam family: tRNA
About the family: Transfer RNA (tRNA) molecules are approximately 80 nucleotides in length.
Source: RNAcentral
GCGCUCGUAGCUCAGCUGGAUAGAGUACCUGGCUACGAACCAGGCGGUCAGAGGUUCGAAUCCUCUCGAG